RNAcentral lists this ribosomal RNA (502 nucleotides) under uncultured bacterium. RNAcentral's name for it is "partial 16S ribosomal RNA". It matches the Rfam family "Bacterial small subunit ribosomal RNA", at positions 29 to 523 of the family's 1533-position model. The record is from RNAcentral.
AUUGAACGCUGGCGGAAUGCUUUACACAUGCAAGUCGAACGGCAGCACGGGUGCUUGCACCUGGUGGCGAGUGGCGAACGGGUGAGUAAUACAUCGGAACGUACCCAGUCGUGGGGGAUAACGUAGCGAAAGUUACGCUAAUACCGCAUACGUCCUGAGGGAGAAAGCGGGGGACCGUAAGGCCUCGCGCGAUUGGAGCGGCCGAUGGCGGAUUAGCUAGUUGGGGGGGUAAAGGCCUACCAAGGCGACGAUCCGUAGCGGGUCUGAGAGGACGGCCCGCAACGCUGGAACUGAGACGCGGUCCAGACUCCUACGGGAGGCAGCAGUGGGGAAUUUUGGACAAUGGGCGAAAGCCUGAUCCAGCCAUUCCGCGUGAGUGAAGAAGGCCUUCGGGUUGUAAAGCUCUUUCGGCAGGGAAGAAACGGCUUGGGAUAAUACCCCGGGCUAAUGACGGUACCUGAAGAAGAAGCACCGGCUAACUACGUGCCAGCAGCCGCCGUAA